This 256-nucleotide ribosomal RNA is filed under the name uncultured archaeon. RNAcentral describes it as "partial 16S ribosomal RNA". It matches the Rfam family "Bacterial small subunit ribosomal RNA", at positions 521 to 776 of the family's 1533-position model. The record is from RNAcentral.
UAAUACGAAGGGGGCUAGCGUUGUUCGGAAUUACUGGGCGUAAAGCGCACGUAGGCGGAUAUUUAAGUCAGGGGUGAAAUCCCAGAGCUCAACUCUGGAACUGCCUUUGAUACUGGGUAUCUUGAGUAUGGAAGAGGUGAGUGGAAUUCCGAGUGUAGAGGUGAAAUUCGUAGAUAUUCGGAGGAACACCAGUGGCGAAGGCGGCUCACUGGUCCAUUACUGACGCUGAGGUGCGAAAGCGUGGGGAGCAAACAGG